This 490-nucleotide ribosomal RNA is filed under the name uncultured bacterium. Its description in RNAcentral is "partial 16S ribosomal RNA". It matches the Rfam family "Bacterial small subunit ribosomal RNA", at positions 29 to 506 of the family's 1533-position model. The record is from RNAcentral.
GUGAACGCUGGCGGUAGGCCUAGCACAUGCAAGUCGAACGGCAGCACAGUAAGAGCUUGCUCUUACGGGUGGCGAGUGGCGGACGGGUGAGGAAUACAUCGGAAUCUACUUUUUCGUGGGGGAUAACGUAGGGAAACUUACGCUAAUACCGCAUACGACCUACGGGUGAAAGCAGGGGAUCUUCGGACCUUGCGCGAUUGAAUGAGCCGAUGUCGGAUUAGCUAGUUGGCGGGGUAAAGGCCCACCAAGGCGACGAUCCGUAGCUGGUCUGAGAGGAUGAUCAGCCACACUGGAACUGAGACACGGUCCAGACUCCUACGGGAGGCAGCAGUGGGGAAUAUUGGACAAUGGGCGCAAGCCUGAUCCAGCCAUACCGCGUGGGUGAAGAAGGCCUUCGGGUUGUAAAGCCCUUUUGUUGGGAAAGAAAAGCAGCAGGUUAAUACCCCGCUGUUCUGACGGUACCCAAAGAAUAAGCACCGGCUAACUUCGU